UGAGGCUUCUGGAAAUUACUUCAUUGCAA
This 29-nucleotide non-coding RNA is filed under the name Rattus norvegicus (Norway rat). The record is from RNAcentral. Lineage: Eukaryota; Metazoa; Chordata; Mammalia; Rodentia; Muridae.